AUUGAACGCUGGCGGCAGGCCUAACACAUGCAAGUCGAACGGUAACAGGAAGAAGCUUGCUUCUUUGCUGACGAGUGGAGGACGGGUGAGUAAUGUCUGGGAAACUGCCUGAUGGAGGGGGAUAACUACUGGAAACGGUAGCUAAUACCGCAUACCGUCGCAAGACCAAAGAGGGGGACCUUCGGGCCUCUUGCCAUCGGAUGUGCCCAGAUGGGAUUAGCUUGUAGGUGGGGUAACGGCACACCUAGGCGACGAUCCCUAGCUGGACUGAGAGGAUGACCAGCCACACUGGAACUGAGACACGGUCCAGACUCCUACGGGAGGCAGCAGUGGGGAAUAUUGCACAAUGGGCGCAAGCCUGAUGCAGCCAUGCCGCGUGUAUGAAGAAGGCCUUCGGGUUGUAAAGUACGUUCAGCGGGGAGGAAGGGAGUAAAGUUAAUACCUUCGCUCAUUGACGUUACCCUCAGAAGAAGCACCGGCUAACUCCGUG
Molecule: ribosomal RNA, 490 nt
Filed under: uncultured bacterium
Lineage: Bacteria
Description: partial 16S ribosomal RNA
Rfam family: Bacterial small subunit ribosomal RNA
Source: RNAcentral